AGAACUAACAGGGAUUGCCCCAGUAACGGCGAGUGAAGCGGCAAGAGCUCAAAUUUGAAAGCUGGCUCCUUCGGGGUCCGCAUUGUAAUUUGUAGAGGAUGCUUCGGGAGCGGUCCCCAUCUAAGUGCCCUGGAACGGGACGUCAUAGAGGGUGAGAAUCCCGUAUGGGAUGGGGUGUCCGCGCCCGUGUGAAGCUCCUUCGACGAGUCGAGUUGUUUGGGAAUGCAGCUCUAAAUGGGUGGUAAAUUUCAUCUAAAGCUAAAUAUUGGCCGGAGACCGAUAGCGCACAAGUAGAGUGAUCGAAAGAUGAAAAGCACUUUGAAAAGAGAGUUAAAAAGCACGUGAAAUUGUUGAAAGGGAAGCGCUUGCGACCAGACUCGCUCGCGGGGUUCAGCCGGCAUUCGUGCCGGUGUACUUCCCCGCGGGCGGGCCAGCGUCGGUUUGGGCGGUCGGUCAAAGGCCCUCGGAAGGUAACGCCCCUAGGGGCGUCUUAUAGCCGAGGGUGCAAUGCGACCUGCCUAGACCGAGGAACGCGCUUCGGCUCGGACGCUGGCAUAAUGGUCGUAAACGACCCGUCUUGAAACACGGACCAAGGAGUCUAACAUCUACGCGAGUGUUCGGGUGUCAAACCCGUGCGCGAAGUGAAAGCGAACGGAGGUGGGAACCCUCACGGGUGCACCAUCGACCGAUCCUGAAGUCUUCGGAUGGAUUUGAGUAAGAGCGUAGCUGUUGGGACCCGAAAGAUGGUGAACUAUGCCUGAAUAGGGCGAAGCCAGAGGAAACU
This 784-nucleotide ribosomal RNA is filed under the name Penicillium chrysogenum. Its description in RNAcentral is "eukaryotic LSU rRNA". It matches the Rfam family "Eukaryotic large subunit ribosomal RNA", at positions 56 to 863 of the family's 3401-position model. Lineage: Eukaryota; Fungi; Ascomycota; Eurotiomycetes; Eurotiales; Aspergillaceae. The record is from RNAcentral.